UUGGAGGGCAAGUCUGGUGCCAGCAGCCGCGGUAAUUCCAGCUCCAAUAGCGUAUAUUAAAGUUGUUGCAGUUAAAAAGCUCGUAGUUGAAUUUCGGGAUUCAUCCGUUGGUCGGGCUUCACGGUCCGCACUGGUGUGAUGGGUUCCUACCUUCUGAAUAACCGGCAUGCCAUUAAUUUGGUGCGCCGGGGAAGCAGAACUAUUACCUUGAAAAAAUUAGAGUGCUUAAAGCAGGCAAGUGCCUGAAUAGGUUAGCAUGGAAUAAUAAAAUAGGACGGCAUGGUUCUAUUUUGUUGGUUUCUAGGAUCACCGUAAUGAUUAAUAGGGAUAGUUGGGGGCAUUAGUAUUCAAUUGUCAGAGGUGAAAUUCUUGGAUUUAUUGAAGACUAACUUCUGCGAAAGCAUUUGCCAAGGAUGUUUUCAUUAAUCAAGAACGAAAGUUAGGGGAUCGAAGACGAUCAGAUACCGUCGUAGUCUUAACCAUAAACUAUGCCGACUAGGGAUCGGACGAUGUUAAUUUUUUAAUGACUCGUUCGGCGCCUUACGGGAAAC
RNAcentral lists this ribosomal RNA (551 nucleotides) under uncultured Glomeromycotina. RNAcentral's name for it is "SSU rRNA". It matches the Rfam family "Eukaryotic small subunit ribosomal RNA", at positions 548 to 1098 of the family's 1831-position model. The record is from RNAcentral. Lineage: Eukaryota; Fungi; Glomeromycota.